GACGAACGCUGGCGGCGUGCCUAAUACAUGCAAGUUGAGCGCUGAAGGUUGGUACUUGUACCAACUGGAUGAGCAGCGAACGGGUGAGUAACGCGUGGGGAAUCUGCCUUUGAGCGGGGGACAACAUUUGGAAACGAAUGCUAAUACCGCAUAAAAACUUUAAACACAAGUUUUAAGUUUGAAAGAUGCAAUUGCAUCACUCAAAGAUGAUCCCGCGUUGUAUUAGCUAGUUGGUGAGGUAAAGGCUCACCAAGGCGAUGAUACAUAGCCGACCUGAGAGGGUGAUCGGCCACAUUGGGACUGAGACACGGCCCAAACUACUACGGGAGGCAGCAGUAGGGAAUCUUCGGCAAUGGACGAAAGUCUGACCGAGCAACGCCGCGUGAGUGAAGAAGGUUUUCGGAUCGUAAAACUCGGUUGGUAGAGAAGAACGUUGGUGAGAGUGGAAAGCUCAUCAAGUGACGGUAACUACCCAGAAAGGGACGGCUAACUACGUG
This 497-nucleotide ribosomal RNA is filed under the name uncultured bacterium. Its description in RNAcentral is "partial 16S ribosomal RNA". It matches the Rfam family "Bacterial small subunit ribosomal RNA", at positions 28 to 507 of the family's 1533-position model. The record is from RNAcentral.